CGAAACUCUGUCUGGUACAGUAUCACAGGCACUUUCUGGAUCUCACCCUUCUUUCAAAGUCGACUUGAAACUUGAAAGUUCAUCUAUGGCUCGGGUGAAAGACAUUCGGAAGAUGGAUGAGUGGCUCUUAAUGGAGCAACUAACCAUUUGUCGACAACGUUCAAGAGAUUAACCACACUGGUUGUAGAAGUUUAUUGCUCCAAGUGGAAAUUCCUGCCAAUGUUGCUUGAAAACUCUGUCAAUUUACAAGUUCUCCAACUUUACAAGGUCAGUCUAAGGCUGUUGUAUGUGAAGAAACAAUGAAAAUUACCACUUGUAGAAGGAGUUGUUCUGUUACACUUUCAACUCUUGGAGAAUGUAGUGAACAGCUAUUUUUUGUUGUAACCAGCCAUGGUAUCUAUGUUGUCAAGAAACACAUAAUGGAUGCUGGAGGAUUCCUAGUUGCUUGCUAUCAAGUCUCAGAGAAAUGUUCGUCAGAGGAUUUACUGGCCUGGAAGAUGAGCUUGCAAUGAUAAGGUAUGUUCUGAAGUAUGGGAGAGUCCUCAAAAAAAUGGAGCUAGAUUCUGGUCUGUAUGCUGAUGACUUCAAGAAAAAGUUCCAGUUGCUUCAGAAGAUAUUAAUGUUCCCCAGAAAGUCAUUUACAUGUGUGAUUGCAUUUUGUUGAGGUGCAUAGAUGAGCUGAUUAUGACCUUUUUACUAAGAGGUGAUGUAACUAAAGUAGAAUUGAGUUUUUAAUUUCUACGUGUUAAGUUUUUUGAAGUUGUGUGUACAAAUACGUUUUAUGGUGCUGCUUACAGUUUUUAAGGGAUAGGAACCAUAUGACCCAAGUAGCUUGCUCU
Long non-coding RNA from Coffea eugenioides, 839 nucleotides. RefSeq lists it as uncharacterized. The record is from RefSeq and is a predicted model, not a curated record. NCBI's taxonomy places the organism in Eukaryota, Viridiplantae, Streptophyta, Magnoliopsida, Gentianales, Rubiaceae. The transcript has 2 exons.